UACUUUUGCCGGCGAGCGGCGGACGGGUGAGUAAUGCCUGGGAAAUUGCCCAGUCGAGGGGGAUAACAGUUGGAAACGACUGCUAAUACCGCAUACGCCCUACGGGGGAAAGCAGGGGACCUUCGGGCCUUGCGCGAUUGAUUCUGCCCAGGUGGGAUUAGCUUGUUGGUGAGGUAAUGGCUCACCAAGGCGACGAUCCCUAGCUGGUCUGAGAGGAUGAUCAGCCACACUGGAACUGAGACCGUUCCAGACUCCUACGGGAGGCAGCAGUGGGGAAUAUUGCACAAUGGGGGAAACCCUGAUGCAGCCAUGCCGCGUGUGUGAAGAAGGCCUUCGGGUUGUAAAGCACUUUCAGCGAGGAGGAAAGGUUGAUACCUAAUACGCAUCAGCUGUGACGUUCCUCGCACAAGAAGCACCGGCUAACUCCGUGCCAGCAGCCGCGGUAAUACGGAGGGUCGCAAGUAUUAAUCGGAAUUACUGGGCGUAAAGCGCACGCAGGCGGUUGGAUAAGUUAGAUGUGACAGCCCCGGGCUCAACCUGGGAGUUGCAUUUACAACUGUCCAGCUAGGUCUUGUAGAGGGGGUAGAAUUCCCGGUGUAGCGGUGAAUGCGUAGAGAUCUGGAGGAUACCGGUGGCGAAG
This 640-nucleotide ribosomal RNA is filed under the name Aeromonas sp. FPW162. RNAcentral describes it as "bacterial SSU rRNA". It matches the Rfam family "Bacterial small subunit ribosomal RNA", at positions 80 to 720 of the family's 1533-position model. The record is from RNAcentral. Lineage: Bacteria; Pseudomonadati; Pseudomonadota; Gammaproteobacteria; Aeromonadales; Aeromonadaceae.